Molecule: ribosomal RNA, 499 nt
Filed under: uncultured bacterium
Lineage: Bacteria
Description: partial 16S ribosomal RNA
Rfam family: Bacterial small subunit ribosomal RNA
Source: RNAcentral
GAUGAACGCUGGCGGCGUGCCUAAUACAUGCAAGUCGAGCGAACAGACGAGAGUGCUUGCACUCUCUGACGUUAGCGGCGGACGGGUGAGUAACACGUGGGUAACCUACCUAUAAGACUGGGAUAACUUCGGGAAACCGGAGCUAAUACCGGAUAAUAUUUAGCUUUGCAUGAAGCAAUAGUGAAAGACGGUUCUGCUGUCACUUAUAGAUGGACCCGCGGUGUAUUAGCUAGUUGGUGAGGUAACGGCUCACCAAGGCAACGAUACAUAGCCGACCUGAGAGGGUGAUCGGCCACACUGGGACUGAGACACGGCCCAGACUCCUACGGGAGGCAGCAGUAGGGAAUCUUCCGCAAUGGACGAAAGUCUGACGGAGCAAUGCCGCGUGAGUGAAGAAGGUUUUCGGAUCGUAAAACUCUGUUGUAAGGGAAGAACAAGUACGUUAGUAACUGAACGUACCUUGACGGUACCUUACCAGAAAGCCACGGCUAACUACGUG